UACGGCUAAACGUUGUGAUCAAAUGACUUCAGCCAAUUCGUUUUGUGGUUAGCGGCUUAGCGCUCGAACUCGAGAGCGAGCGAGGGAGAAGCAUGGAGCAUCCCAGUCCCUCCUCCCUCCCGCCUCCUCGUCGUCGUCCGGCCCCUCUGUCCAGUCCGCCUCGAGUCCGCGCUCGCUCCCCCAACCCUAGCUUCCGCCCUCUCAAUCCCCUUCUCGUCCCCGCUUCCGAUGGGGUUGGUUGGUUAGAUUUCCUGCAAGAGCGGAGAGCAGGCUUGGCCCGUCCGCUGCGCUCUCUCGAGCUUCCUGUCGUGUCCCGCGGCGCAAACAGUUCAGCGUGGUGUAUGGUCAGGACAUCAGUGUAUGGAUCACAAUAGAUGUAUGAUCAGGUCACCCAUUUACCUACAAAUCAGAGCAUUCCUUGUUGUCCAUGCAUCCAUUAAAUAUGGGAUUCAGUGAAUAUUGGACCUUAUAUAUAUGGGUCUCUCUUUCAUCACAUGAAACUACGAAGGCCAAGGGUGACGUGUCACCAAACCUUAUGUGGUGAAGCAGAUAUUUCGUAAGGCACGUUGUUAGAAUUGGCCGCCAACUGCUGUACAGCCCAUAUGGCAAACAGUUUGUCUCCUAGGAGAGGGUGUUUUCAGGACUACAUGUAUUGAUCAACUAAUUGCGGCAUUGCCUCAUGGGAAUCUCGAUUCAAGGGGUGAUUAUUUUCUUACACCCAAAUCUGUUCCACAAGAGGAGAAGACCAUGUCCAUGUGUAUGAUCCAUUAUUCCAUCUGGCAGCCCCACUUAUGGACAACAAUGCCCUAACAUGCGGCAUGGGUCAAAGCGUGUAGGAAAGACCUGCUGCUCUUAGGAUAACCACUACUGAGGAAGCUCGCAACCUCUUGUACUGGUUCCAGAUUGAGGCUGGUUAUGGAAAGAUGGACAUCAUGUGUGCUCAGCAUGAAUAUUUAAUUCAGGUGGGAUACAUGCUGCCAAUAGCUACACGAUUGCAUUAUAACUUCUCAUAGCAUGAGUUGAUGGGAAUUUUGGUUCCUUUGGAUGGCCUUGCCUACAUUUGCUAGUGUUGAGCCAGUCUCACGCUCACUCAAAAUCGACAAAGUACUUGCACACUUUGCCCAAAAGUAUGCCUAGACAAGUGGUAAGAUGAUUCUUGCUCAUGGAGAUUGAUUCUCCACAGUAAGAAGGAAACUCUUGUGCACAUGCACAAAAGUGUGGCUAGGCAAGCCGCAAGGAGAUCCUUGCUUGUGGAGAUCAAAUUUGCUCUGCCUGAAAAGCAAGUAAAUUCUUGCUUUAUUUGCCCAAAACUAAGGCAACUCAAGGGGCAAUAAUAUUGUUUGCUCACUUUGUCAAAAAGGGUGGCAAUACAAAUGGUAAGAUGAUUCUUGCUCGCGGAGGAUUAUUUCUCCAUAUGAACAAGGAAAUCCUUGUGCACAUGCACAAAAUUGUGGCUAGGCAAGUCACAAGGAGAACCUUGCUUGUGGAGAUCAAAUUUUCUCUUCCUCAAUAUCAAGUAAAUUCUUGCUCUA
Molecule: long non-coding RNA, 1532 nt
Organism: Brachypodium distachyon (stiff brome)
Lineage: Eukaryota; Viridiplantae; Streptophyta; Magnoliopsida; Poales; Poaceae
Exons: 5
Source: RefSeq, a predicted model, not a curated record